GUAUUGCUGGCACGCCAGCAGGUGAUUGAUUUUAGGCAGUCUUUGAUCAAAACUGCCAUCUGGUGUUUUGCUGUUUAAACCUUUUCGCCUGAUUUUUAUCACUUUAUAGUAAUCUGUUAAAAAUUACAAUCGAUAAAUUAUAGUCAAGGGUGAAUUGUAACGAUUCAGUCACGAUCAACUUUUGCCGAAAUGGGCUACCAAUAUUACCAAUCUUACCUGGUAUCCUAUACGUGAUACGUGUGCCUCAUACCAGUAGCUCUUGAAUUCACCACACGAAAAAGCUUGUCCAACAACCUGUAGAUCCGUUUACUCAGAAUUAAAUUUUUUUGCUAGUGUGAUGACAGUUCAUUAAAUUUUUGUAUCAACUUGGCAAGUCUAGAUCGUUCAAUUAAGGAUAUAGUUGCAUUCAGCAAGGAUGCAACCCUUAUGAGGUUUUCUGUUUGUUCUGCUGUUUUUGGUUGUUUUUUUUUCUUUUCGUUUAGUUUUUUGUUACAAUAACAUCGAAUCAGAUCCGCCGUUGCAUUCCAAAUAGUGUUCAUUUAUUAAAUUGGCCAGACGGUCUUCGGAAAUUGUAUGAAAGCCGAUUUUACAAGAAAAACGAGUCAAGGCGUCAGCAACGGAAUUGGUCCAUGAAAUUCACAGUAUAUAAGGCUUGUGUGAAAUUCUUAGUAUUGGAAGCACUUCUAAUGAUGGGAUGUGAGUCCUCCCUAUACAUCAUAGUUUAUGUAAGGGAUCCGCUAGUCCAAGAGUCUGAUAGCAAUUAUAGCUACGAACGGUCUAUGUCUGGUGAGCUGAUUCAGCCCUCUAGCAUAGACUCAGUAUGGGUACGCUAUCAGCUGAUGUCAUGAAGGCUAUGCCAUCAUGACAGUUCUGGAGGAAUUAGCAUGUCAUUGAAGUGCUUCCUUUUUUUUUUUUUUUAUCAAAUAAUUUUCUUGGUGUUGAAAUAUGGGCAGCAAGAUGUUGCGCGGAUGUGCUGACACCUUAAAAUUUAAGAAUGAAAAAUGAGUUUGAAAACGCCGUCAACGCUUACAAGCGUUUUUCCUCUCCCCGUAAGAGUUUAGGAAUGCUGAUGAGGGAUACGUCUGAAGAGUUUCUUCAGAAAUGGUUACAACAAAACUGAUUCCAUAACUUUAAAAAGCGGAAACUGAAAAUGACCUGAAGAGCUUGGAGGUGUUCGUAUAGUUGUUCUGGGGAAAUAGCUCCAACCAGGACUGAAUGAACAUGUUCAUUUUUCAGUGUCCACGCAAUAGCGAGUUGAGAUGAAGUACAGCCGAAGCGCUCGGCCAUCAGCGAAAUUUCCCGCAAUUUGCUGUUUUGACGCUGAACUUCUUCAGCCGACAUCCUCGGUACAUAGGCGUUCUAUUUUUCAAAUAAAUACGUACAGUGAAUCGUCAAAGGAAUGUUUGGCAGCAUUUUUAGUGUUUCUAAACUGAAAGGUUGCAUAACCUCACCUCUUUGGUAGCACCGGCUGCGUCGUCGUCGGGCCAAGUUACGGUAGAGAAUUUUUUCUGUUGAAUUCCAUGUUUAAAAUAAGAACUGAAGGUUGUCUGUCAUUGGCUAUACCUUAAAGGACAUGCGAUGAAAAUUUGGAAACGUCUCCUCGCCUUUAGAAACAUUGAAUCCCAUAGUUAGCGGAGACCACGUCAUCAGUCCGACACCUGACACAAACCGUCACAUCUUGAAUUUAAGUACUUUCCAGUGGUGAAGACAUUAUUAUCUUCCGUACAUUUUAAUUUUAAAAAAGAUUUGAAAUGCAAUAGAUAAACCUAAUUUAUUGUA
Molecule: long non-coding RNA, 1779 nt
Filed under: Daphnia magna
Lineage: Eukaryota; Metazoa; Arthropoda; Branchiopoda; Diplostraca; Daphniidae
Description: uncharacterized LOC116919635
Source: RNAcentral